AUACUUACCUGGCGCCGGGGCCAGCUGUGGUCACGUUGGCAGCUCCCCCAGGGUGAGGCUUGACCAUUGCACUUGGGUCUGGCUGACCCCUGCCACUACCCCAAACUGGGGCAGAUGGGGCGUGUAAUUUGUGGUAGCUGGGGACUGCGUUCGCGCUCUCCCCUU
This 165-nucleotide small nuclear RNA is filed under the name Centruroides sculpturatus (bark scorpion). RNAcentral's name for it is "U1 spliceosomal RNA". It matches the Rfam family "U1 spliceosomal RNA". Rfam says of the family: U1 is a small nuclear RNA (snRNA) component of the spliceosome (involved in pre-mRNA splicing). Its 5' end forms complementary base pairs with the 5' splice junction, thus defining the 5' donor site of an intron. The record is from RNAcentral. Lineage: Eukaryota; Metazoa; Arthropoda; Arachnida; Scorpiones; Buthidae.